GUGCUCACAUCAGCAGCACAUAGCUAAAAUUGGAAUGAUACAGAGAAGAUUAGCAUGGCCCCCAUGCAAAGAUGACAUACAAAUUUGUGAAGGAUUCCACAUUUUU
This is a small nuclear RNA of Suricata suricatta (meerkat), 106 nucleotides long. Lineage: Eukaryota; Metazoa; Chordata; Mammalia; Carnivora; Herpestidae. The record is from Ensembl.